GUGAGGGACGGCCUGUGUCAUCGUUGAGGCUUCCUAAGACUCCCAGAGGCUGAUGUGCCUCCCAGACUCGCCUCGGCCCCGCUCCCUGGGCCCUGCUCCAGGGGCUUCAUUGCUCCCUGCCCCGGGUCACCCCUCGGCUCACCGUCUCUCAGGUGUGGAAUAUCCUGCUCCAAUCAAAGCCAUG
Molecule: long non-coding RNA, 184 nt
Filed under: Pongo abelii (Sumatran orangutan)
Lineage: Eukaryota; Metazoa; Chordata; Mammalia; Primates; Hominidae
Description: lincRNA
Source: RNAcentral